GUUUGAUCCUGGCUCAGGAUUAACGCUGGCGGCGUGCCUAAUACAUGCAAGUCGAACGGAAACCUUCGGGUUUUAGUGGCGAACGGGUGAGUAACACGUAAGCAACCUACCCUAAAGACGAGGAUAACCAUUGGAAACAGUGGCUAAGACUGGAUAGGAAGAAAUAAGGCAUCUUUUUUCUUUUAAAAGACCUAGUGAUAGGUAUACUUUAGGAGGGGCUUGCGCCAUAUUAGUUAGUUGGUAGGGUAAUGGCCUACCAAGACGAUGAUGUGUAGCUGGACUGAGAGGUUGAACAGCCACAUUGGGACUGAGACACGGCCCAAACUCCUACGGGAGGCAGCAGUAGGGAAUUUUCGGCAAUGGAGGAAACUCUGACCGAGCAACGCCGCGUGAACGACGAAGUACUUUGGUAUGUAAAGUUCUUUUAUCAAGGAAGAAAAGCAAGUGGUGAACCAUUUGUUUGCCGGUACUUGAUGAAUAAGCCCCGGCUAAUUAUGUGCCAGCAGCCGCGGUAAGACAUAAGGGGCAAGUGUUAUCCGGAAUUAUUGGGCGUAAAGGGUGCGUAGGCGGUCUAGUAAGUCAGUGGUGUAAUGGCAACGCUCAACGUUGUCCGGCUAUUGAAACUGCUAAACUUGAGUUAGAUAGAGGCGAGUGGAAUUCCAUGUGUAGCGGUAAAAUGCGUAAAUAUAUGGAGGAACACCAGAGGCGUAGGCGGCUCGCUGGGUCUUAACUGACGCUGAGGCACGAAAGCGUGGGGAGCAAACAGGAUUAGAUACCCUGGUAGUCCACGCCGUAAACGAUGAGUACUAAGUGUCGGGUUAAACCGGUACUGAAGUUAACACAUUAAGUACUCCGCCUGAGUAGUACGUACGCAAGUAUGAAACUUAAAGGAAUUGACGGGACUCCGCACAAGCGGUGGAUCAUGUUGUUUAAUUCGAAGAUACCCGAAAAACCUUACCAGGUCUUGACAUGUUUUUGCGAAACGGUAGUAAUAUCGUGGAGGUUAUCAGAAACACAGGUGGUGCAUGGUUGUCGUCAGCUCGUGUCGUGAGAUGUUAGGUUAAGUCCUAAAACGAGCGAAACCCUUAUCGUUAGUUGCCAGCACGUUAUGGUGGGGACUUUAACGAGACUGCCAGUGAUAAAUUGGAGGAAGGUGAGGAUCACGUCAAAUCAGCAUGCCCCUUAUGACCUGGGCUACAAACGUGAUACAAUGGCUGUUACAAAGGGUAGCUGAAACGCAAGUUCUUGGCCAAUCCCCAAAAACAGUCUCAGUCCGGAUUGAAGUCUGCAACUCGACUUCAUGAAGUUGGAAUCGCUAGUAAUCGCGAAUCAGCAUGUCGCGGUGAAUACGUUCUCGGGGUUUGUACACACCGCCCGUCAAACCACGAAAGUUGGCAAUACCCCAAAACGGUAGCCUAACUCGUUUAUCGAGAGGGCGCUGUCUAAGGUAGGGUCGAUGAUUGGGGUUAAGUCGUAACAAGGUAUCCCUACCGGAAGGUGGGGAUGGAUCACCUCCUUUCU
RNAcentral lists this ribosomal RNA (1521 nucleotides) under Candidatus Phytoplasma citri. RNAcentral's name for it is "Candidatus Phytoplasma aurantifolia 16S ribosomal RNA". It matches the Rfam family "Bacterial small subunit ribosomal RNA". The record is from RNAcentral. Lineage: Bacteria; Bacillati; Mycoplasmatota; Mollicutes; Acholeplasmatales; Acholeplasmataceae.